GUCUUUUUGUAAUAUAUUUAAAGUCUAACCUGCCCACUGAAAAAUUUAAAGGGCCGCGGUAUUUUGACCGUGCAAAGGUAGCAUAAUCAUUAGUCUUUUAAUUGAAGGCUUGUAUGAAUGGUUGAACGUAGUAUUAGCUGUCUCAUAAAAAAUUAAAAUAGAAUUUAACUUUUUAAUUAAAAGGUUAAAAUAAUUUUAAAAGACGAGAAGACCCUAUAGAGCUUUAUAAUAGUUUUAUAUAAUUUAUUUAGAAAAAUUAAAAUAAUAUUUGAUCUAUUAUUUUGUUGGGGUGACAAUAAAAUUUAAUAAACUUUUAUUAAUUAUAAACAUUAAUUUAUGAAUAAUUGAUCCAGUUAUAUUGAUUAUAAAAUUAAGUUACCUUAGGGAUAACAGCGUAAUUUUUUUUAAGAGUUCAUAUCGACAAAAAAGAUUGCGACCUCGAUGUUGGAUUAAGGGUUAUUUUUGGGUGUAGAAGUUCAAAGUUUAGGUCUGUUCGACCUUUGAAUCCUUACAU
RNAcentral lists this ribosomal RNA (514 nucleotides) under Trichocera recondita. RNAcentral describes it as "partial large subunit ribosomal RNA". It matches the Rfam family "Bacterial large subunit ribosomal RNA", at positions 1825 to 2601 of the family's 2925-position model. The record is from RNAcentral. Lineage: Eukaryota; Metazoa; Arthropoda; Insecta; Diptera; Trichoceridae.